Molecule: ribosomal RNA, 506 nt
Filed under: uncultured bacterium
Lineage: Bacteria
Description: partial 16S ribosomal RNA
Rfam family: Bacterial small subunit ribosomal RNA
Source: RNAcentral
AGCGAACGCUGGCGGUAGGCCUAACACAUGCAAGUCGAACGGCAGCACAGGAGAGCUUGCUCUCUGGGUGGCGAGUGGCGGACGGGUGAGGAAUACAUCGGAAUCUACUUUUUCGUGGGGGAUAACGUAGGGAAACUUACGCUAAUACCGCAUACGACCUACGGGUGAAAGCAGGGGAUCUUCGGACCUUGCGCGAUUGAAUGAGCCGAUGUCGGAUUAGCUGGUUGGCGGGGUAAAGGCCCACCAAGGCGACGAUCCGUAGCUGGUCUGAGAGAAUGAGCAGCCACACUGGAGCUGAGACACGGUCCAGACUCCUCCGGGAGGCAGCAAUGGGGAAUAUUGGACAAUGGGGGGAAGCCUGAUCCAGCCAUACCGCGUGGGUGAAGAAGGCCUUCGGGUUGUAAAGCCCUUUUGUUGGGAAAGAAAUCCAGCUGGUUAAUACCCGGUUGGGAUGACGGUACCCAAAGAAUAAGCACCGGCUAACUUCGUGCCAGCCGCCGCCGUAA